This 4130-nucleotide unclassified non-coding RNA is filed under the name Hevea brasiliensis (rubber tree). The record is from RNAcentral. Lineage: Eukaryota; Viridiplantae; Streptophyta; Magnoliopsida; Malpighiales; Euphorbiaceae.
GGCAGAGCAUGUCGACAUGAUCAGGUUUCAGGUUUGCUGCAGAGAGCUCUAUAACUGUCUUCCUCCUCAUUUUUUUCUAUCUGCAAAUCCCAAUUAGUCAUUGCAGUGAGAGACCCAUCCUUCUUUUUUCCUUCCUCAACGGGAGCGAUUUUUUUCCUUUUUCUGGGGUCUCAUUACUCUAAAAGAACUUUGCUAAAUUCCAAUUAGACCUCUUCAAAAGAGAGCGUUUUACACGUCUCACUCGGAGUCCAAAAAGUUCACCUUCCUCAGAACCCUUCAAAGAAGCUAUUCCCAAUUCCCAUCAGGUCAAGGUAAUAGGAAAGCCUAUGCUUACCUCUACCCAUACCUCUAUAUAGAUCUGCCAUGGGGAUUUGCUUUUGUAUUAUUGAAUUUUGGGUUUCUAGAUAGGUUUAAACGAUGAGUAGUGGUGGGGAAUCAUCACAUAAUCGAACCCCCAGAGAAUUAAUAUGCCACGCCGGUGCUGGUGCUGCUGCAGGUGCUAUUGCGGCUACUGUCGUUUGCCCAUUGGAUGUGAUCAAGACAAGGUUGCAGGUCCAUGGAUUGCCCUCAACUUCCAAUUCAGGUCGCACAGGUAGCAUCAUUGUCACAAGUCUCAAGAACAUAAUUAGGAAUGAAGGUUUUAAGGGAUUGUAUCGAGGUCUCUCUCCAACAAUAAUAGCUCUACUUCCAAACUGGACUGUGUAUUUCACAGUUUAUGAGCAACUCAAAGGCAUCCUUCUUUCACAUGGUGAUGGAAAUAGCCAACUCACAAUUGGUGCAAACAUGGUAGCUGCUGCAGGUGCUGGGGCUGCCACAGCCAUCGCUACAAAUCCGUUGUGGGUAGUGAAAACCAGACUCCAAGUAAGUAUACCAUGGCUAUAUAUUAUUCUAUGGUUCUACUUACUACACUUGUUGCCUCUUUAAUUGAUGGUUAUUGCUUUUAAAAUUUUGUUGCAACAAAUAUAUAGUCCAUUGAUGGAUAUUAAAUACCUUGCUCGUUGACACAUACACACAGAGAGACACCUGUCUCUCUAUAUGUGAUUUUAGAGAACUCUCUCACUGUACUUCGUUUUAGUUAUUGGAGUACGUUGUUGUGUUGCGACAAAGUAUCUAAACCAGGUCACAACUGGAAAAUGGGGUGGAAUUUUGAGGAUCAAACUCGUUGACAAUGCUAUAGAGUAGAGAGAUUAGUGGGCCGAACAGGCAUAUAGUUUGGACCAUGAAAAUAAGCCUCCUGGAGAAAAUUAGUUAAUCAUUCAGUUUUGAGAUUUUAGAAACAUCUUUGCUUUCUCUUUUGCUGAAAAGGAUUUAGCAUAGAAACUUUCACAUGCUGUAAGAGCUAAUAGACAUUAGGGCCAUUUGGAAAGGACUAUUUUCUUCCUUUCUUCCCCACCUUCCUCUUUCCUUCUUUUUGGGUGCCUUAAUCGGUAAUUUUGGUCAUCUUAAUAAUUUUGUUAACUGUAAUCUGUAAUAAGCAAGCAUAACUAAAACUAUGUUUGAUUGGCAAAUUGCAAGUGUUGGAUCCAAUGCCACCCAAUGUUGCUUCCCUACUGCUAAGCUAAUUUUCAAGCAUGGUGAGUCAGUCAAAAAAAAAAAAAAAGCAUGGUAAGCAUUAUAAGAUUGGGAGAGUGAUAAAAUAAUGCAAAAGAAUUGUACUUGUUGCACAUUUGGAUCUUAGAUGUGAAUGGUUUGUUUCUUUUUUGUUGCUCUUUCUACAAGUAUAGGUUUAGAGGAUAUGCUGCUUUUAUAUGAUCAAUGUGCACAUCACUACCUUUAGUGCUUGAAACUGUGAAUCCAAGUAGAAAGUUUUGAGCUUGCAUGAGUCUGAAAAUGUCUUUGCUAAUAGGUGCUAAAGAAAAGCUCAAUAACCUUGAGAUGGAGAAUGAGAUUUAAACUCAUCGCAUGGCUGCAAGCUUAACCUAUGCUGUGUCUGCAUUUAAGGAAAGGAAAAUGUGGAUUUGAAUGACAUUUUAGUUCAAAUAAGAAUAAAAAUCUGAAAAAGGUGAAAAGAUCAAGAAAGAGACAAAAAUAGGAAAGCACAUACUUAAAUGAAACACUUUGGAUUAAGUGAACAAAAUUACACCUUUUCAAUUCACAAUCUAAAAACUAAUUUUGAUGGAUUUGCCAUAUGUUCGCUUACAUUCUCUUCUUUCAAGAAUUUUUUAUUCAGAAUUGCCCAUUUCCAAUCUGCAGAAAGCUGCUUGAAAUGGUUUUUUAAAAAGUUAGGUUUCUGUAAUAAGUUCCAUGGAGGUACAUUUAUUUAUUUCAAUUAUAUGCUGGCCAAAAUUUUCUGUAGUGAAAUGGGAAAUUUUCUUCAAUAACUUCUUUUUUGACCCCAUGCUAGUUCUGGAAAUUUCUAAUUUGCAGAAUUCCUAUUGUUUGCUGGUCUGUGAAGUUUAAAAACUAGAUUUAUCACGAGUCACUUCCUCUUCCUUUACUUGUUUAUUUAUUUACUUUUUGGUGCUGGGGUGGGAUGGGAGGGUAUGGGUUUAAGUAGGUGGUAGGUGGAGAUUGGUGAUCAAUACAACUCUAUAUUAAGAGCAUUUUCUCAUUGUGGCUUAUGCUGAUUUGAUAUUUAAUUUAUGAUUGUGAUUCUAUUUGUGGACGCUUAGUUGUUUCCAUCUCUUUCUUAGACACAAGGAAUGAGACCAGAUGUGGUUCCCUAUAAAAGCAUACUUUCUGCUUUUAGAAGGAUUAUACACGAGGAAGGCAUGCGAGGGUUGUAUAGGUCAGUGUAAAUUUCAAAAUUUGACCCAGCCUUUAGUUGUACUUUGGAUUUAAAUGUGCAUGAUGAUUGAGUGAUUUUGUUUGGAACAUAUUGCAAGCAGCAUUUCUAUGAUUAUAAUGACUGGAAUUUGUUCUUUCGUGUGAUUAAGUUUUUCCCUUGGUAUGGAACAGUGGCAUUCUGCCUUCUUUGGCUGGGAUAAGUCAUGUUGCAAUUCAAUUUCCGGCGUAUGAAAAGAUUAAGUAUUAUGUGGCUAAAAAGGGUAAUAUUUACUGUUUAAUUAUUUUCUGGAUUGUGUAUCUAAGAUUUCUUUGUGAAUUUGAUCAGUGCUGAUGUUAUUGUUUUCAAUUUUCUCAGAUAAUACUUCUGUUGAUAAGCUAAGUGCUGGGGAUGUUGCAAUCGCUGCUUCAACAUCCAAAGUGAUUGCCUCUGUAAUGACUUAUCCUCACGAGGUGUGUUUUUGGCAUGGUUCUAUUCUUUUACUCUACUGUAGUGGAGAGCUUAUCAGCCACAAAACUCUCGAUAUUUAUCUUGCUAAAGGCAUGCAUGGGCACUGUGCAUACGCACAUUACAUUGUUUUAAUAUGUGCAUUUCAAAUACCAGGUUGUGCGAUCAAGGCUUCAAGAGCAAGGGCAAGUAAGAAAUUCUGAGGUCCAAUAUCGUGGGGUUGUUGAUUGUGUUAAGAAGGUGUUCCAAAAGGAAGGUUUUCCUGGAUUUUACCGGGGCUGUGCAACAAAUUUAAUGAGAACAACCCCAUCUGCUGUCAUUACAUUUACCUCUUAUGAGAUGAUACAUAGGUUUCUAGACCGAGUUUUGCCUCCAGACAAGAAGCAUUCAGAAGCUCAACCAAAACCAGGCUAUCCCCAACAUCUGAUGGAAAACCAAGGAAACGGGAUGGGUAACAACAUUGUUUUGGGGCAAUCACAAACACAACCAAACAAGAGAACUACCUCUAUUCCUCUGGGAAACGAGGAGCAGCUAACUGCAGCACACUGAUUGACCUGUUCCUUUGGAAACUUACCGGGUGUUGAUUAUCCAUAAAACCUGAAAUGGAUAAUGAAAACGUGAAGGUGAAUAAGAGUUAUUAUUAUUAUUUUUUUAAUUGAUUUCUAAUUUUGGUUUUGUAUUUUAUUUGGAAAGGCCAGCCAAAUGUAAUGUUUGAUGAAUAAAAUGCGAAAUUUUUUUUGCUCCUUAAUUUGCUCCUUUUUGUGUGUUGAACAGUUGCCAUCAAUGUAAUAUGGUUGGAAUUAGAUGAAGUAAUCUCCUUUUUAUUUCCAACCCAAGCAACCAAAUAGAAGAGGCGAUGUAAAAUGUCUAUAAAUAUGUACCUUGUUUUGAUCUUUAUUUGGUAAUGGUUUGAAAUUUAAAUUUAUUUCAAUCAAGGUGUAAAAUGUUUAAAACAUUA